RNAcentral lists this ribosomal RNA (1098 nucleotides) under uncultured ammonia-oxidizing bacterium. Its description in RNAcentral is "bacterial SSU rRNA". It matches the Rfam family "Bacterial small subunit ribosomal RNA", at positions 131 to 1225 of the family's 1533-position model. The record is from RNAcentral.
CUUAAGUGGGGAAUAACGCAUCGAAAGGUGUGCUAAUACCGCAUAAUCUCUGAGGAGAAAAGCAGGGGAUCGCAAGACCUUGCGCUUUUGGAGCGGCCGAUGUCUGAUUAGCUUGUUGGUGAGGUAAAGGCUUACCAAGGCUUCGAUCAGUAGCUGGUCUGAGAGGACGGCCAGCCACACUGGGACUGAGACACGGCCCAGACUCCUACGGGAGGCAGCAGUGGGGAAUUUUGGACAAUGGGGGCAACCCUGAUCCAGCCAUGCCGCGUGAGUGAAGAAGGCCUUCGGGUUGUAAAGCUCUUUCAGCCGGAACGAAACGGUUACGGUUAAUACCCGUAACUACUGACGGUACCGGAAGAAGAAGCACCGGCUAACUACGUGCCAGCAGCCGCGGUAAUACGUAGGGUGCGAGCGUUAAUCGGAAUUACUGGGCGUAAAGCGUGCGCAGGUGGUUUUGUAAGUCAGAUGUGAAAUCCCCGGGCUUAACCUGGGAACUGCGUUUGAAACUACAAGGCUAGAGUGUGGCAGAGGGGGGUGGAAUUCCGCGUGUAGCAGUGAAAUGCGUAGAGAUGUGGAGGAACACCGAUGGCGAAAGCAGCCCCCUGGGUCAACACUGACGCUCAGGCACGAAAGCAUGGGGAGCAAACAGGAUUAGAUACCCUGGUAGCCCAUGCCCUAAACGAUGUCAACUAGUUGUCGGGUCUUAACGGGCUUGGUAACGUAGCUAACGCGUGAAGUUGACCGCCUGGGGAGUACGAUCGCAAGAUUAAAACUCAAAGGAAUUGACGGGAACCCGCACAAGCGGUGGAUUAUGUGGAUUAAUUCGAUGCAACGCGAAAAACCUUACCUACCCUUGACAUGUAUUGGAGCCCGCAGAGAUGUGGGUGUGCCCGAAAGGGAACGAUAACACAGGUGCUGCAUGGCUGUCGUCAGCUCGUGUCGUGAGAUGUUGGGUUAAGUCCCGCAACGAGCGCAACCCUUGUCAUUAAUUGCCAUCAUUUAGUUGGGCACUUUAAUGAGACUGCCGGUGACAAACCGGAGGAAGGUGGGGAUGACGUCAAGUCCUCAUGGCCCUUAUGGGUAGGGCUUCACACGUAA